This 76-nucleotide transfer RNA is filed under the name Clostridia bacterium. RNAcentral's name for it is "tRNA-Asp". It matches the Rfam family "tRNA". From Rfam's summary of the family: Transfer RNA (tRNA) molecules are approximately 80 nucleotides in length. Their secondary structure includes four short double-helical elements and three loops (D, anti-codon, and T loops). Further hydrogen bonds mediate the characteristic L-shaped molecular structure. tRNAs have two regions of fundamental functional importance: the anti-codon, which is responsible for specific mRNA codon recognition, and the 3' end, to which the tRNAs corresponding amino acid is attached (by aminoacyl-tRNA synthetases). tRNAs cope with the degeneracy of the genetic code in two manners: having more than one tRNA (with a specific anti-codon) for a particular amino acid; and 'wobble' base-pairing, i.e. permitting non-standard base-pairing at the 3rd anti-codon position. Lineage: Bacteria; Bacillati; Bacillota; Clostridia. RNAcentral also lists the same sequence under 1 other name. The record is from RNAcentral.
GGCCCCGUGGUGUAGUGGUUAACACGUCGGCCUGUCACGCCGAAGAUCGUCGGUUCAAAUCCGAUCGGGGUCGCCA